Molecule: ribosomal RNA, 490 nt
Filed under: uncultured bacterium
Lineage: Bacteria
Description: partial 16S ribosomal RNA
Rfam family: Bacterial small subunit ribosomal RNA
Source: RNAcentral
AUUGAACGCUGGCGGCAGGCCUAACACAUGCAAGUCGAACGGUAACAGGAAACAGCUUGCUGUUUCGCUGACGAGUGGCGGCCGGGUGCGUCAUGACUGGGAAACUGCCUGAUGGAGGGGGAUAACUACUGGAAACGGUAGCUAAUACCGCAUAACGUCGCAAGCCCAAAGAGGGGGACCCUCGCGCCUCUUGCCCUCCCAUGUGCCCAGAUGGGAUUAGCUUGUUGGUGGGGUAACGGCUCACCAAGGCGACGAUCCCUAGCUGGUCUGAGAGGAUGACCAGCCACACUGGAACUGAGACACGGUCCAGACUCCUACGGGAGGCAGCAGUGGGGAAUAUUGCACAAUGGGCGAAAGCCUGAUGCAGCCAUGCCGCGUGUAUGAAGAAGGCCUUCGGGUUGUAAAGUACUUUCAGCGGGGAGGAAGAGAGUAGUGUUAAUACCUUGGCUCAUUGACGUUACCCGCAGAAGAAGCACCGGCUAACUCCGUG